CUCUCUGUGUGUGUCACCGUGCCACUCUGGACUCGUUUUUGUAUCUUGGAUGUGGCUGCCCGCAGGGGAACGGGAAGCAAACGAAGCCAUCUGCCUUGUGGUAUCUCGCAAAGGAUGCAAUUUCUGUACAGAUGUCAUCUUGAGCCUAAGGCAGCCAAAAAUGGGUCUCAAGAUGGGCAAGCCUUGCAGAUAACUACACAGGCUCAGGUUCUGCCUAUGGAGCUGGGGAUGCUGAACCCUCUGUCACGUUAAUACAUAAAAGGAUUCCAGUUCCAGAAUGGGAGAAUCUUGAGAUUUCAGUGGCAUAACAGACCAGACUUCUUCCUCAAUUCCCGCCAGGUGAAAAAUUGGAAAGUCCAACACCAACUAUUUUAAUUAGUCAGAAGACCUUUUCUGAAGUUUCCCAAAUGAGCUUUAGUAAUGAUUCCAGGGAAGAAAUAUAUGUGGAUUCUGACAGUCGAUUGUUAAUUCAGGAAGAUUAGGAUCCAGAUAGCCUUAGUGAUUCCAGCAAAUCUGAUGAUGGUAUCAACUUGGAAAAAGGUAGGAAAAGCCAAGAUGGCACCAAAAUGCCUGAACAGGAUUGGACAAGGGCUGAAAGUGCAAAGUCUAGAAGCUCUCAGUGUCCUAUGACAAGACUUUCAGGCUUGACAGCAUUAAGUGAUCCACUGUCAGCAUCUUUCUAUAUGGUGAUGAGGCAGAAGAGAUUAGGGUUCCUUCAAAGCUUACUUGAAACAUACCUCCUCCUCCUCAAAUAGACAAAGAAGAACUUCCUUUUAAGUAUGGAAAGACAGCUGCCAAAGGAAUGAACAAUACCCAUCUUUACUCAAAUGGAAAAAUGGUUAUGUCAUUACACCAGAGACUACCAGAACAACAAGCUGUAUCCACAAAAGAAUUUUCAUCUUUUGUUAGGCAAGAGAGUUUUACCAAAGAGAAGUCAAGCAGCAACAUUUCUCAAAACAGGUUACCGGAUAUCUCAAGUCCUCCUCUACUGAAAGAUCUUGAGGUCACACGAGCAAAUCGUAUGAACUAUAAUCCUGAGACCCAUUUCCUUCUUAAAGACAGUGAAACUGCCCUGGCACCCUUGGAAGCCAUAAUACUUUGUCAAACUCACCAGCUAGAUGCUCCAGAAAAAUCUUUCUGGGCAGUUAGAAGAUUCUUAUCUGGAGAGUCUGAUGUGGACACAGCCAGCACUGUCAGUUUGGUAAGUGGUAAAAAUCUGCUGUUGUGUUCCCUGCUCAAUGGUGCCUGAGCAUCUGCUGGUUGUUACUCUACUGAAACUGUUUUCCACUGUUAAAACAUUUU
Protobothrops mucrosquamatus (brown spotted pit viper) is the source of this 1302-nucleotide long non-coding RNA. RefSeq lists it as uncharacterized. The record is from RefSeq and is a predicted model, not a curated record. Lineage: Eukaryota; Metazoa; Chordata; Lepidosauria; Squamata; Viperidae. The transcript has 3 exons.